This is a long non-coding RNA of Eriocheir sinensis (Chinese mitten crab), 1009 nucleotides long. RefSeq lists it as uncharacterized. NCBI's taxonomy places the organism in Eukaryota, Metazoa, Arthropoda, Malacostraca, Decapoda, Varunidae. The transcript is spliced from 3 exons. The record is from RefSeq and is a predicted model, not a curated record.
AAUACUUAAGGGCCUAUGCUUAGCUAAAAGUUGUUAAGUGCAGGGCUUAGUAUUAUUCUUAGAAUAUUUGUGCAUACGGCCCCUGGUCCCCCCUUUAAAUGGGGCGGGCCAACACGGGUCGGCGCAUGCGCAGUAGAGGGGAGAACGUUCAGUCCGCCACUUUCGACCCAAGACCCAGGCCAGGACCAAGACUAUCGCCGCCGCCGCUAUUUACAUGCCUUAUUUCCCAUAUUUGGGUAUUUUCUGCUACAACCACUGCAUCUAGGAGGUGCCUGGUGAUCCGGAAUUACUGGGCCUGUUCCCCCCUCUACUGCGCAUGCGCCGACCCGUGUUGGCCCGCCCCAUUUAAAGGGGGGACCAGCUGGCCGCAUCCGCUCACGGUACGCUGCGGAAGCUCCUGGAGACAGGCGGCUCAUUCUGGCGCCCGACGCAUCUGAUUGGCUGUUCAGCAGCGCGUCUGUGAUUGGUUCACUUCGCCUCCCAUCUCUCUCUAGCUCUCGAUGACGUCAUUUGUAAACAAAACCUGGCGGGAUAUCAUAGCAGAGACUGCUCAACAGUGCCUACACGUUCUACAGUAGUAAUACCACCGCGGCACCGCCACAACGGUAGAGAGGGAUGACCUGAUGCCGCUAUCCCGACAUGGUAUACCUCCACCACAGCCCGUAACAGUGGCUGUUCAUCUUCACCCACACCUGAUCCACAUUAGCUGACCUGUUGGAUGGUUCUACUGCUCCCAGCCUGGCUUCCAAAGCAGUCAACCUUACCAGGACCAUGAUCCAUGAUGUUGUAAGUAAUGAGGAAAUAGCCAAACCUAAGGUGUCAACAGAAGAAAUUAAUAUGAUUCAUGAUGUAAGUAAUGAGGAAACCUAUGAUAGACAAGUUGUGAAAUACCAGGAACAAUUGAAAAACAAAAUUAUGUUACAGCUUCUCCCAAAAUGUAGUGAAAGUAAGGACCUUCAAGUUUUGAAAACUGCUAAUAGCUUGUUGUGUAAGUUAAUUGCAACAUUAG